UACAGGGGUCUCAAGCGUUGUUCGGAUUCAUUGGGCGUAAAGGGUGCGUAGGCGGCGCCGUAAGUCGGAUGUGAAAUCCCGAAGCUCAACUUCGGAACUGCAUUCGAUACUGCGGUGCUGGAGGACUGGAGAGGAGAUCGGAAUUCAUGGUGUAGCAGUGAAAUGCGUAGAUAUCAUGAGGAAGACCAGUGGCGAAGGCGGAUCUCUGGACAGUUCCUGACGCUGAGGCACGAAGGCUAGGGUAGCGAACGGG
Molecule: ribosomal RNA, 253 nt
Filed under: uncultured bacterium
Lineage: Bacteria
Description: partial 16S ribosomal RNA
Rfam family: Bacterial small subunit ribosomal RNA
Source: RNAcentral